Molecule: long non-coding RNA, 572 nt
Organism: Coccinella septempunctata (seven-spotted ladybird)
Lineage: Eukaryota; Metazoa; Arthropoda; Insecta; Coleoptera; Coccinellidae
Exons: 2
Source: RefSeq, a predicted model, not a curated record
UUGAAUUGGAUAUAUUUACACAAGGUCUGAAAAUAUUGGAUAUUUUAUAAGAAAAUUUAUUGAUGAACCUAAAAGAUCUAGGUAUAUGGUUUAUCAGUCUGUGUAGUAUUGUCAGCUGUAGGAACAUUCAAAUAUAAUAAAAUAUAAUUGCAGAGUCUUCAUAGGCUAAAUUUCGUUUUUUAUUCUUUUUUAUUUAUUUUUUUAGUAGUAGAUUCCUUUGUCUCCAGUUGUUCUGUAAAAACAUAUUGCUGUCUUGAGUUAUCUUGUUAUUUUGUUUUUCAAUCAGAUGUCGCUUUAUUGUUUUAAAUUCAGGAAUGUUAUUAUGAAUUCUAUUUUUUGUCAAUCUUGUUAUUCUUAUUAUACUAUCUGCCUGGUUGCUCUGAACUUGAAGUUUUUUCUUUUUGAUUAUAUGACGCAAGAUUUGUUUUUUAUUACCUGACCAUUGUAGCUUGUAUAUUUGACUUGAAAAUGAGACCAUUUUGAAGGUUUUGAAAAUAGUCGUCAUCAAAUAAAGAUUGUAGGGAAAGAAGGACUUUUUCUCCAUAUUCUAAAUCGAAUAAAAAUUGAAUUCA